RNAcentral lists this ribosomal RNA (254 nucleotides) under uncultured bacterium. RNAcentral describes it as "partial 16S ribosomal RNA". It matches the Rfam family "Bacterial small subunit ribosomal RNA", at positions 524 to 776 of the family's 1533-position model. The record is from RNAcentral.
UACGGGGGGGGCAAGCGUUGUUCGGAAUUACUGGGCGUAAAGGGCUCGUAGGCGGCCAACUAAGUCAGACGUGAAAUCCCUCGGCUUAACCGGGGAACUGCAUCUGAUACUGGAUGGCUUGAAUCCGGGAGAGGGAUGCGGAAUUCCAGGUGUAGCGGUGAAAUGCGUAGAUAUCUGGAGGAACACCGGUGGCGAAGGCGACAUCCUGGACCGGUAUUGACGCUGAGUGAGCGAAAGCCAGGGGAGCGAACGGG